RNAcentral lists this signal recognition particle RNA (97 nucleotides) under Pseudomonadales bacterium. Its description in RNAcentral is "signal recognition particle sRNA small type". It matches the Rfam family "Bacterial small signal recognition particle RNA". Rfam says of the family: The signal recognition particle (SRP) is a universally conserved ribonucleoprotein involved in the co-translational targeting of proteins to membranes. Archaeal SRP consists of a 7S RNA and homologues of the eukaryotic SRP19 and SRP54 proteins. Lineage: Bacteria; Pseudomonadati; Pseudomonadota; Gammaproteobacteria; Pseudomonadales. The record is from RNAcentral.
GGUCGGUCCCCUCGCAACGCUGGACGAUGAACCCCGCCAGGCCCGGAAGGGAGCAACGGUAAUCGUUAAGGUGUGUGCCGGGGUGUGGCUGGCCGGG